Nicotiana tabacum (common tobacco) is the source of this 502-nucleotide non-coding RNA. The record is from RefSeq and is a predicted model, not a curated record. Lineage: Eukaryota; Viridiplantae; Streptophyta; Magnoliopsida; Solanales; Solanaceae.
UCUUCAGUGUACGGUUCUUUCUAGAGAUGCUAUGGUGAGCUCAAUCGUUUCCAUUUCACCUGAUCUUCUUCCUUCAUGGUGAUCGGAAUUAAUUUAUUUUAGUGUUCAAUUCAUAUUUUUGUCAUCUUUCUAUGAGUUUUCUUUGUUUCUGAAGGCAUUCACUCCUCUUCCCAAAAGUAUCUAGGUAUUUUUAUUUCUAUAAACCUCGCAAGAGAAUUUGCUAGCCGUUGGCAAAACAGAUUCACCUUUCUUAGGAUUUUGGAUAUGGAAACUGAGUUUUCCGUUUUGGGUAUCAUCAAAAUCCAGCAAAGCUCAGAAGAAUUUUGCAUUGCAGGGUUCAAGUAAAAUUCUUACACUGAAAUUUCUCACGGGUUGGAAGUAAAGAAGCAAAAGGAUCUCUUUGCUUUGAAGGGUUCAAGAGACAUGUAAUUCUUUCAAAGUUAGUGAUAUGGUGUCCAUCUCAUUCAAAUGAUUUGGUAGCCAAUUUUGUUGACUUGGUUUU